Molecule: long non-coding RNA, 4649 nt
Filed under: Pan troglodytes (chimpanzee)
Lineage: Eukaryota; Metazoa; Chordata; Mammalia; Primates; Hominidae
Description: long non-coding RNA NONPTRT009631
Source: RNAcentral
GUCGCUCUAACGAGCCGGCGUCGCCGCCAGGGGACGCUCGGGCCGCAGGAAGGUCGCUGGGUCGUGAGCUGGCGCCGGGGACGCCGAGCGACUGCGGGGUUUCCCUCAGCGUCCUGCUAUCCGGCUGCCCGCCGCGCUCCUUGGUAGUGUCCGUGGGAGCGCAGGCCUUGAAGAACCUCCUCGUGGCGGGCCCCCGAGGUAACUGCUGAGGCAGAUAAUGGCGCCUGGGCUGCGGUGGGGCUUGCCCUGCCGCCUGGCGGCUUUCUGCAGGGCCAGGAUAUACUUACUUUUCUGUAAACCAACUCUUCCUUAGCGCAGGAGAGGUGUCAAAGAGCUGGCGCGUCUCCAGAGCCCCGGGAGGAAGGCUGUAACGGCAGCCCCAUCGUAGACAGGGACAUUCGCAUCCCGAGCCCUGGAUCUCUGAAAACCAGCCCAGAAUUUGGAAGCUGGAAGGAACUUUAGAUCGUCCAUUCUGAGUGUCUCUCUUCGCUGGCGUUUUCCCACUGAGGUUAUGUAAACAUGAAGAGGAGCCUACAAGUGUCAAGGAAAAAACGACAGCUAACCACAGGGCAGGCCAUGGGCAAGAUAUCUCAGUGUUCUCCGCUCUCAUAGGUCAGGUCAUGACCCCCAGGAGACCUGGAGGACUGAAUGCUGCUGUCCCCAAGGAGGAGGCUGCCGUCUUAUCCCAGGAGGGAGAGCAGGUGAAGUCCCCAGGGGAGGAAGCACCUAGCCCCAUUCCUGCUGAGCAGGAGGUGGCAGGUACCCCAGACUGGGAGGUAAGGACAGCCCAGGGCUUCAACUGAACGUCUCCGGCAUGGGUCCGACUGAGCAGCCAUGGAGCACUGCAGAGUGGGAGGCAGCAGGGCAGGGAGGCAGUGCUGGAGGCUGGCUCAACCCCAAGACCAGCAGGCCAAGCUGCCAUCCCAGGGGAGCGAGGACGUCUGUGCAGAGCUGAGAGGCAGCAGCCAUAUGUGAACAGACUGGGCCUCAUCCUGGCCCCACCGACUUUGUGUGGACAGAGCCUGUUUCCCUGUCUGUGCAACACAGAACCUGCCUGAUCUCACUGCUGGAUCCCUCUUCUUCCUGCCAGGAAAAUAAAAAGGUUCAAAAAGAAGUUGCUGCGUAUCCAUCUGAGGCCUCUGAGGACAGCAAAGAGCAAAGGCCCUGGGACCGGGUCUCCGUGCCCAUGACAGAGCUCUGGCUGGACUGGUUCUGAGCCUCUAACACCCCCAAGACUCAGAACCGUGAAGAAAAUCUUUCCAAUAAAUCCAAGAGUUGCUGCUGCUAUAGGCCAGGCUGCCACCUUUCGGGGCCUCCGUCUUCAGACAAACCCAGCCUGGCUUCAUCCACACUCCCUGUCCCCACAGCUGCAGGAACAGCACUUCCUGCCACGGAGCCGUGUGACCACAGUGGAUUGUCUCUGGAGGGGCCCAAGGGGGCCCUGGCCACCCUUCUGAUUGACUCGGUGCCAGGGGACAGACCAACGUCCCUCUCGUGCUGACAGCCGGGCCGCACCCUGGCAUGAGGGCAUUUACAGAAAUGUUGGCGGAACUGCUGCCAGGGAGGCUGUAGGGUCCUCUGGCAAAAGAGGCCUCAGGUGGCUCCUCAGAGUGUCUGGUUCUCUGUCCCAGGCUGUUCCCUAAGAAGGUCUGCCCAGGACUCAGGUAAUCAUAUGCUCAUUAGAAACUCUUGGGCACUGCCUGUGUGCCCAGCCCAGCCCCUUAUGUCGGUGAGGACAGACGUGGAGGACAGCAGUCCCUGCCCUUGGUUGGGGCUCCAGGCCAGCAAGGGCCACAGCCCCAGAAGGCAGAGCAGGAAGACAGGACUCGGGGCAGGUGAAGCAGCCUUCUCGUUGGCAGAAGGGAAACAGAAGCCCAGGGUGGGGAAGGGUGGGCCCGGGGUCACAGGGGGUAAUGGCGGGCCCGGGGUCACACGGGGUAAUGGCAGAGCCAGGACUAGGGUCAGGGUCUCUGGCUCUCAGCUGCCCAUGCCACCUCCUCCUCCUCUGCCCGCCCCAGUGCCUCAUGGGCCCAAGGUUGACUCCCAUCCCUAGGGCAGGCCAGUGGCCCACAGGGCUCAUACAUGGCCCCUGGCCAAGCCUGUGGGCCCUGCCUGACCCCUACUGGGAGGAUGGUACCUAGGGUUGGAGCCAAACAAGUGUUCUCCUCCAGCGCCAGCCUGGCCCCGAGUGCAAACUCGUCACUGGUCAGGGGUCCGGACAGCAGCAUCCCUGAGGGCCCAGAGAGGUGGCCAGUCCUGUGGUGAGGUUGAGAGGGGUCAACGUGCUGGCGGUCCUUGCUUGCUCUCAGCGCCUCCUCGGCCUCAGCAUCUGCUCUGACCACACUUGAGGAGCCCUUCAGCCCAGCGCUGCACUGUAGGAGCCCCUCUCUGGGCUGGUGGAGGCUGGAGCCGGCUCCCUCUGCUUGUGGGGAGGUAUGGAGGGAGAGGCGUGGGCGGGAACCUGGGUUGCUCGCGGGCCAGCACCAGUUCUGGGUGGCCAGGGGCUCAGCGGGCCCUGCACUCACAGCGGCCGGCUGGUGCCUCCGGCCCCAGGCAGUGAGGGGCUUAGCACCUGGGCCAGCAGCUGCAGAGGGGGCGCCGGGUCCCCCAGUACUGCUGGCCGCCGGCACGCACCACACUUGAAUUGUCGCCAGGCCUCAGUUGCCUCCCCGCGGGGCAGGGCUCAGGACCUGCAGCCUGCCAUGCCCAAGCCUCCCUACGGUGGGCUCCCUGCAAGGCCCGAGCCUCCCGGAUGGGUGCCUCCCACUGCUCCACGGCACCUGGUCCCGUCCACUGCCCAAGGGCUGAGGAGUACAGGUGCCCAGUGUGGGACUGGCAGGCAGCUCUGCCUGUGGCCCUGGCAUAGGAUCCACUAGGCGAAGCUGGCUGGGCUCCUGAAUCAGGUGGGGACUUGGAGAACUUUUAUGUCUAGCCAGAGGAUUGUAUAUGCACCAAUCAGCACUCUGUGUGUAGCUCCGGGUUCGUGGAUGCACCAGUUAGCACUCUGUAUCUAGCUAAUCUGGUGGGGACUUGGGGAACCUUUAUUUCUAGCUAAAAGAUUGUAAAUACACCAAUCAGCACUCUGUGUCUAGCUCAAGGUUUGUAAACACACCAAUCAGCACCCUGUGUCUAACUCAAGGUUUGUAAACGCACCAAUCAGUGCUCUCUGUCUACUCUAUCUAGCUAAUCUAGUGGGGACUUGGACAACCUUUAUGUCUAGCUAAGGGAUUGUAAAUACACCAUUCAGCACUCUGUGUCUAGCUCAAGGUUUGUAAAUAUACCAAUCAGCACUCUGUGUCUAGCUCAGGGAUUGUAAAUGCACCAAUCAGCACCCUGUCAAAAUGGACCAAUCAACUCUCUGUAAGUGGACCAAUCCACUGUCUGUAAAAUGGGCCAAUCAGCAGGAUGUGGGUGGAGGGUCAGAUAAGGGAAUAAAAGCAGGCUGCCUGAAGUAGCAGCGGCAACCUGGUUGCCAUCCUUCUUUUGCUGUUUGCAGUAAGUCUUGCUGCUGCUCCCUCAUUGGGUCCACACUGCCUUUAUGAGUUGUAACACUGGAAGGACUGCAGUUUCACUCCUGAGGCCAGUGAGACCACAAACCCACCAGGAAGAAUGAACAACUCCGUACGUGCCGCCUUAAGAGCCGUAACACUCACUGUGAAGGUCUGCAGCUUCACUCCUGAAGCCAGCAAGACCAUGCACCCACCAGAAGGAAGAAACUCUGAACACGUCUUAACAUCAGAAGGAACAAACUCUGAACACACCAUCUUUAAGAACUGUAACACUCACUGCGAGGGUCCACGGCUUCAUUCUUGAAGUCAGUGAGACCAAGAACCCACCAAUUUUGGACACAAGGUGACAGGCUGAGGGCGGUGGCUCGGUCCUGGGUUUUCCUGGGGCCUUCCCAGGGAAUGUUCUGGCACCUGCCGACUGAGCCCUGGGAGGUAGCCCUGGCAUAUAGCUCCCUGAUGCCAUGAUUUGUCUUCCGUUUUGGGGUGUCAUAUAUGAAGGGAGGUGACUGUUGUGAUGGUGCUGGCAGGACUGCUGUCCCUGAUGUGGGGUGGGCUGAGUUAGGCCUGAAAUAUGGGCCUCCAGGCUGAGUCCUGCCCUCUCCACCACAUCCAGGGCUGACUGACACCUCUAGUCAGCCCAUUCUGGCCCCUUCCCCACAUGCCAGGACAAUGUAGUCCUUGUCACCAAUCUGGGCAGUCAGAGUUGGGUCAGUGGGGGACAUGGGAUUAUGGGCAAGGGUAACUGACAUCUGCUCAGCCUCAACGUACCCCUGUCUCAAAUGCGGCCAGGCGGUGGGGUAAGCAGGAAUGAGGCAGGGGUGGGGUUGCCCUGAGGAGGAUGAUCCCAACGAGGGCGUGGGCAGGGGACCCGAGUUGGAACUACCACAUUGCUUUAUUGUACAUCAGGGCCCCUGGCUAGGGAGCAGGCUGGGGACUAGGUACCCCAUUCUAGCGGGGCACAGCACAAAGCUCAUAGGGGGAUGGGGUCACCAGGAAAGCAAAGACACCAUGGUGGCUGGGCCGGGGCUGUCCGGUGGGCACCGAGAAGCUGAAGUGCUGCAGCAGGGAGGUGAAGAAGAGGAAGAGCUCCAUGCGGGCCAGGGGCUCCCCGAGGCAUGCGCGGCGGCCUGUGGGGAGGGG